UAACAAUACGGUUCAGUGCACUGUGAAUUUGCGGUUUAUUAUUCUUCUCUUUCUGUUUGUACAAUCUGGGUUUUUUCAUCUUCUGUAUUGGUUUUGCCACGGACGCAUGUUUUUGGGUGCCUCUCUUGGGGUGAGAUUUGAGUUGGGAUAUAUAUAGAAGAGGAAAGGAAACUAUUUGGUGCUUUUUGUUAUUUUUUUGGGCAGUAAUGGUGUCUGUAAAUGACCCGAUGGAAUCAUUUCUAAAUUCUGUUCAAGGGGUGAAAGAUGCAAUGUCACCGCUUGAGCUUGGGAUUCGGAAAGCGGCUAAAGAUCUGGAGAGUUGCUGGGGAAUUUCUAAGAACGAUAAGGUUUAUCAUCUUGAAUUGAAUUCCACUGAUAAUAGGAUUCAUAACAAUAAGGUUCAGAUCUGUGCUGUGAAAAAGAGGAGUACUAGUAAUAUCAAUGGCAAUAAUGGGAACUCUGUGUCUGGUGAAGAGAGAAAGAAAGGUUUAUCCAUCAAGUUUCCUAUUAGAACUUUGUUGGGCAUGUUUUCACAGAAUCUGGAACAUGGGUAUAAUAAGAACAAUGGAAGCAAAGCUGAGUUGGGGAAGAAAGGGAUGAAAGAGAUGGAAAUGAGGAGUGAAGAUGGGUCUUGCACAAAUUGUUUGCAGUUUGCAGUGACUUGGUCCUUCUUAGUUAAUAGGUUUGUUCAGGCAUUUCCUAGCCCUUUCAAGACAAGCAAGAAGCGGUUCCAGAACGUCGGUGAUGAUGGUCGAGGUAAUUUGCAUUUGUGCGAACAUGGAUCGAAAUCAAAGGUUUCGAGCGAAUUAAAGCAUAAGGAAUCACAAGUUCAAUAUGUUAAAGCAGUCCAGAAUGAUAGUGAAAACCAUAAAGAACGGAAACAUGUAUCGCUUGAACGUGUUAUAGGUUUUAUUUUUGAUCAAUUGGCUCAUAAUCUACAGAAAUUUGAUCUGAGUUUACAGCAAGCAGACAGCAAAGAUUGUGAUUAUGAUUGUUCAACUCCACCCCCGGAAUCCUUCCAGUUUGAUCAUUUGAGGGCAGUCAUGAAUAUUUGGGAAGGUCGAAAGGUGGAUGUAAAUGGGUUGUUGGGGAAUUUGAACUUUGCAAGAGUAGGCGUUCCUUCAGGUGUAGUUGGAGUAUCUUCUUCGGCCAACGAAGAAGGUGAUGGUGGUAUCAGUGCUGGCAGUGGGGAGGAAACAGGGGGUAGUUCAUCACAGAAGUUGGCAAGUGGGUUACUCAGUAUUCCCUUAUCAAAUGUAGAGCGUUUGAGAUCCACACUAUUUACAAUUUCAUUGCCGGAGCUAAUUGAGCUUGUGCCACAGCUGGGGCGAUCUUCUAAAGACUAUCCUGACAAGAAGAAGCUAUUCUCUGUCCAGGAUUUCUUUAGAUACACAGAGUCUGAAGGAAAGAGGUUCUUUGAGGAACUAGAUAGAGAUGGUGAUGGUCAAGUAACAUUGGAAGAUCUUGAGAUUGCUAUGAAAAAAAGGAAAUUGCCACCGAGAUAUGCUCGGGAAUUUAUGCAGCGUGCUAGAAGUCACUUGUUUUCAAAAUCAUUCGGUUGGAAACAGUUUCUGUCCUUGAUGGAGCAGAAGGAACCGACCAUUCUCCGUGCUUAUACUUCCCUCUGUUUAAACAAGUCUGGGACCCUUAAAAAGAGUGAAAUAUUAGCAUCGCUUAAAAAUGCUGGACUUCCAGCAAAUGAAGACAAUGCUUUUGCAAUGAUGCGAUUUCUAAAUGCUGACACAGAAGAAUCUAUUUCUUAUGGGCAUUUUCGGAAUUUUAUGCUUUUGCUUCCUUCUGAUCGACUUCAGGAUGAUCCUAGGAGCAUAUGGUUUGAAGCUGCUACUGUUGUUGCUGUUGCACCACCUGUGGAGAUACCAGCUGGAAGUGUUCUAAGAUCUGCAUUGGCUGGGGGGAUAUCAUGUGCACUCUCUUGUGCUCUGAUGCAUCCUGUUGAUACAAUAAAGACUCGGGUGCAAGCAUCAACCCUUACUUUCCCAGAGAUCAUUUCAAAGCUUCCAGAGAUUGGUGUUCAGGGAUUAUACAGGGGUUCAAUCCCUGCAAUUCUAGGACAGUUUUCGAGCCAUGGUCUGCGAACUGGGAUAUUUGAAGCUAGUAAACUUCUGCUUAUAAAUGUUGCUCCAACACUCCCAGACAUACAGGUUCAGUCUGUAUCAUCAUUCUGCAGCACAUUUUUGGGGACAGCAGUCCGAAUCCCCUGUGAGGUAUUGAAGCAGCGCUUGCAGGCAGGUCUUUUUGAUAACGUAGGACAGGCUAUCAUUGGUACUUUGCAGCAAGAUGGUCUGAAGGGUUUUUUCCGUGGGACUGGGGCUACACUUUGCCGUGAGGUUCCAUUUUAUGUUGCUGGCAUGGGCCUAUAUGCUGAAUCCAAAAAGGUAAGGAGAUUUGUGUGUACAAACAUGCAAUUUUUAUCUAUUUUUUCAUUUUGAUAUUUCAAAGUUGCAGAGUUCUGCUUUUAUCAUGUUUCAACAACUGAUUUUUUUUCUUCUCAUAAUCCAUUACCUACUCUUUCUUAUAGUAAAUUUCAUGUCAAAGACUGGACUAGCAAUCAUGUUUGAUUGUAGUCUGAUAGGAAUUUGUUUAAUGAUAACACUUAUUCAUUAUUUUAUUUUAAAUUAUACAAGUAAGUAGAAUGUUAAUGAUCAUAGAAGGGGGAAGCAAUUAUAUUUUCUAUGCUUGUUAUAUGUUAAAUUUAAUAGUUUUACGAAGGGAUGAAGUUAUGGCUACAGAAGCAUACAUGGGAAAUUAAGGAGAAUAUUACUAUAUUUUGUCCCAAACGUUAAGUCAAGAAUUUUUUUUUCUUCCUUUAAGCUUAUCCAUGCCAUCACUACCCUAUGCUAAAUUUUCAGAGAUACCAAUUUUCCAUUGGAAAUGAGUCUUCUAUAUGAGCAUAAAUCUUCAGCCUGCCUAAUAGUUUUUAGGUAAGAAAUUUUAAUAGGUUGAGAUAUUAAAAAAUAGGCUAAUAAAUGUGGAGAAUGCGUUGUAUAAUUGUGGAUAUGAAUAUUUAUAAAAAGGUGUCAUUUGAAAUUCACUUCAAAAGAGUGCUUAACAACACGCAUAAAUUAAAUUCUUUUUAUGAAAUAAAAUAAGUCAACUUUCAUUCACAAUAUACACUAAAAUAAAAUCCAAAUCCCUUACUUCAAACCAUGGUAUCCAAACAUAGCAUAAAAUUACAUGGAAUAAUUUUUUGUAUACUUUAUAUAAUUAUAUACUGAAGAAUUAUUUUGCUUCUUCUAGUUUGCUCAACAACUUCUACGACGGGAGUUAGAACCCUGGGAAACAAUUGUAGUUGGGGCCUUAUCAGGAGGGCUAGCUGCCGUGGUCACUACCCCAUUUGAUGUGAUGAAAACUAGAAUGAUGACUGCACAGGGAAGAUCCUUGCCGAUGACAAUGGUUGCCUUCUCUAUACUUCGUCAUGAGGGACCCCUUGGCCUAUUUAAAGGAGCAGUACCAAGGUUUUUCUGGAUUGCCCCUUUAGGUGCCAUGAACUUUGCUGGUUAUGAGCUAGCAAGGAAGGCGAUGGACAAAAAUGAGGAGACAUCAAGGGAUCAGCCGUCUCAGAAGAAGUUAACUAGUUCUGGAUAGCCUUUGUGAAACUUCAAAAACAUUUUAUACGGAGCCUCCAGGUUUUUGUUUUGUGAAUGCUGCUGGAAGUUUUGUGCCCUUUCCGAACUUUUAGCAGCAUAUACAACAGAUAUCAUCUGCCGACAAGUCUUCCCCCUCUCCCUUCCUUCUUCAGCAAAAACAUUGUACUUUUCAGUUUCUUGUUGCAAAAUUUCAUGAUCUAUUAAGGAUGGCUGCACAAGUCUUUUUUGCUUAAUCUUGUAUCUGCUUCAUUUGUGUAUAUUUCGUGUGCAGUUAAUUCUAUUCUUUCCUUAAUCUGAAAUUCUAAUUCUGUAUGGCAUGUACAUCUCUUUUAGGAGAAGAACUCUGUCUUUUUCCUCUCUAAUUUGACUACUCAAUUUGAUAGCUGCGAUCAAUAAUGGCGGUAUCCUUCUAUGCAGGGUAUUUUGAGAAGUCUUUCCUUUGUUAUUGACAUUGUAAAUAAAUUAAUAAUUUGGUUGCUG
This 4088-nucleotide unclassified non-coding RNA is filed under the name Hevea brasiliensis (rubber tree). Lineage: Eukaryota; Viridiplantae; Streptophyta; Magnoliopsida; Malpighiales; Euphorbiaceae. The record is from RNAcentral.